CCAACGUCAAGGCGAUAUGUUAAGGGCUGCGUUUGGGGCCUGUAACAGUGGCCUCUCUUUUCAAAGAGUCCAGUUAACCUACGGGGAGUUCAGGUGAAGCUCUGGUCACCGGGCCAACAGUCUGACCUUGUACGGCACCGAGUGAAGCUGGGCCCUCCUGCCACCGAGGCCCAGCUCCCAGCCAAGGAAGGAGUGAAAAGCCAGCAGGGCUGAGAAGGUGGCCCAGCUCCUCCUUGAAACUGACCCCAACACAGGCUCCCAGGCAGGGUCUGGCGGUGUUUCCUCACCGGCCCGGGAACCUCUGGUCCCACUCCAGGCCUCUGUUUAGAAUCCACGAUGCUCCACGGCCCAGCCCGGCCCCUGCGCAGGUGGCUGUGUCUCCCUCCGUCCGAGGACGCAGCAGCCCACCGCCCUUGCCCACCUCCUGCCACCAUCCCCCGUCAAUGGUGGGAAGCGAGGAGGAGCAGUGCUAUGGCCCCGGAGGCGUGUCCACUCACCAGGACCUGGUCGGGCACCGCGUACUUGGCGAUCUUAGAGGCCACCACUGACCGGAGCUCCUUCACCACCACGUCUGCGUCACCCGCGUCAUCUUUCAACACGAUGAAGGCGAACGCAGCUGGAAGGAGAGCAGAGGUUCAGGUGCAUCAGACCACGACCCACCUCCCGGGGCAGCAUGUUUCACACAAAUCGCCAUAUAUCCAAAGGGGCUUUAAAUCAUAGGCUGGUGACCCUGUGGCAGCUGGUCUCUUUAGCUGCAGCCCCGAAGGUGCAUUUCCAUUUUCAUUCAAGGUGGAAGUGACUCCACUGGCUCCUCUGGCGCCUCGGGUGGCGGGCACGUGUGCAGAGACCCUGGAGCCGUGACUCACCUCUGUCCGCACACCCGUGACACAGCCGUGACGUGGGCUGUAGAAGACUCACUCUCCACCCCGUGCGACAGGUGUGGAAACACCGCCCAGGCACUAGUCUCUGGGCACGUGUCCAGCCUGUGGGCACCAGCCACGUGGCUAUUUAAAGCCUCCUCACCCAAAAUCUCCACUUGAGAGAGACGUGAACCAGCAGCCUGACCCACAAGAAAGCCCUGGUCCCCGCCCACCAAGUCUGCUUCUCCUAUAGGAGCCCUGGCCCCAGGGCCAGGAGGGUCCUCGGGGGACACGCACCUUCUCCCUUGAUGUCGUGGGGGUAGCCGAUGACGGCAGUCUCGGGCACUGCAGGGUGGUCAGCCUGGGCACGACAGAGAACGCAGAGGUGAGGCAGCGACUCAGCCAAUGACGACCACCCCAGACCCCAGGCAGCGGCAGCCGGUGGCAGUGCAGGACACGGAGGCCGGCUGGGCUCACCAUGGCGUCCUCAAUCUCCGCCGUCCCCAGCCGGUGGCCGCUGAUGUUGAUGACAUCGUCCAUCCGCCCCGUGAUCUGGUAGUAGCCGUCCUCGGUUCGGUAAGCCCCGUCUCCUGUGAAGUAGUAGCCUGCACCACAGAGGGGGGAUUCAGCACCAGCUCCGAACUGGGACCUAGCAGGGCUCCCAUCCUUCCAUGACGGACACCCCCUGGACAGGAGGAAGCGCCAAAGCCCCCCUGCCGACGCAACCCCCACCCCGAUGGAGACACCUCUCCGGUGCUGCUAAGCUGGUGCCAGUAAAGGGCAGAGGGGCUGCCAGACAGCAGGAGGCUGCGAACGCCUGGAAGCAGAAGAUACGAGGAGCCCACUCGAGCUUCCCCAGGGGUGAGUGUCGCUGACAUGCUUGCGAAUGCAGAGCAUCGGUUCCCAGCGGCACACGUGUACGUGAACUCCCACCCAACGACACGACACAAGCCGGGAAGACGACGACACGGAGACCGGGGGGAGGCCUGGAGCCACCGCGAUUGUCGCCAAGGCGGCGUCUUGCUCUUCUCCUGGGAGCCCAUGGCCUGAGUCCCUGGGAGAACCCCGAGCUGGACCACUCCUGGCUCAGAGGUAAGGAAGGGAGGGAGCGUUCACGCAACCCCCGGCCCCUCGGAAAUGGUUCUGAGACCGAGUCCAGCGGUGGCAGGAAAGGCUCACCCGGGUAGGCCUCGAAGUAGGCGUCCAUGAAUCGCUGGUGAUCUCCGAAGAUGGUCCGGGCCAUGCCUGGCCAGGCCUGGGACAGGCACAGAGACCCGGACACAUCUCCACCCUUCAGGACAUUUCCCUGCAGACCCAGGAGAUGGGGAGACAGGAGUGACCAUCUCGCGUUCUCUGAACUGCCAGGCCCGACGCAGGAACAGGACAAGUGCCCCAGAGGGAGCUGCCCGGAGCUUUCUCCUCUGAGAGGAGACCCUGCGGUGGGUGCCGCGCGACGGGGCAGGGCAGCCGAGGCCAGGGGGGCGGGGCACGUGGACGGGGAGACUCACCUUCUCGUCCAUGAGAACAGGGACGAUGCCAAACAAGGGCCUCAUCGCCAUGCAGGGCAGGAUUUCUGCCCCCUCCUCCGAGGGCCGCGGCGAGAUGCAGAUGCCCCCCGUUUCUGCGGGCGGUACAGGAAGAAACACCAGUGGGCCUGAGGCUACUGACACGUGUAUCCAGACCAUAUGGACACAGGGUCCACACACACGGCUGCUCUCCAGAGUGGGAGGGGGUAGACCUGCCCGUCCGGGGCAAGGAAACAGCCCCCAGUGACAAAAGGACCUCUGAGGAGAAACCAGGCUUGGGUGCCGGUCCCCUCCACUGUGGAAAUGAGAGCGGGCUGGGGGCCAGGUUCAGCUCCAGGAGCCACGGCCCCCAUCUCGUGCUGUGGGGACACAGGGACGGCGGAAAGGAGGGCGGAGGGAAAGAACGCCCAUGUGUCCUGCCCCCAGGCAUUCCUCUGGCUCCGGCCUCCAUCAGCCUGCAUGGGAAGGGCCCCCCCCCAAGACUCUGCUGUAGGGAACAUCCGGGGCCUUCCUGAACCAUGAGGCCCGCGCCACUGGGAACGUCUCACUUUCUGGCUUCUUGAAGGACGAGGCCUCAGCCACGUUUAUUACGUCAGUGGUGGUCUCUUGCCCCCAAAAUCCUGAUAAGUCAGACACCCCAGAGGAGGGGGGCAAAUCAAAACACAGUGGUGCAGAAAAAACUCCUUUCCCUCUAGAUCCAAAUCUAGACUCAAGAUCGCUUAAACAGCAGGACCCAUCACUGGGCCGCACCGGGUUCAGGAGGUGGGCCGCCAAGGAAGGGAACCUUCGCGGGGCCCUGUGUCGCCCCUCCGCCCCCUCCCGGGCCCCACCUUACAGACGAGGAAACCGAGGCUCAGGGAAGCCUUUGCACCCAUGUCUCACAGCUGCAGAGCGGCAGCUGCUGCCCUGAGCUUCCUCUCCCCACACACCAGGCACCCGUUGAGCUGACGCUCUGCGCUCCCUGCCCCUCCCCCGGGGACGUGCUCACCUGUCUGCCACCAGGUGUCCACCAGCGUGCACCGGCUGUCCCCCACCACCCUGUGCAGCCACUCCCAGGCCUCCUGGUUGAUCGGCUCUCCCACUGCAACCACACGAGAGAGAGAAGAUGUUAAGAGACCUCAAAAAGGCUGAAACCAAAAGGAGCUGAUUUCAUGACGAAAACAGCUCUAUAAUUUUCCCAAAAGACACAAAAGGAGACUUGAAAAAGCAGUGAGAUCAUCAGGUUUAUGGCUAUGGAAGAACACAAAUGACAAUGAGAUAUUUUCACCAUCAGAGGGUCAAAAACCAAGAAGUUGGCAAGAGUGUGGAGGAAACAACACCACACACACUGCUGGAGUGCAGUUUGGAGAGCGAUUGGAGUGUUUCUCUUCCUGUUUAGAAGUGCACACACCCGUUGCAACUGCUUUGGACGCCUGCUGGUGACGGAACCCACUAUAAAGCCAGACACACUCGUCCUGUGACUGGAGGAGGUCGCUCCAGGCACCCACCCCCAGAAGCAGACACGGACGAGGAUGUUCCCAUGGCCAAGAGCUAAAAACUGUCCGUGGAGAGGAGAAUGGCGAAGUGAAUCGUGGCACGUUCGUGAGGGACCACCACCGGCCAAGGCAUGAAUUGUCCCAGGUGCAGGAACCACCAUGCUAUUCACCCACCUGCCAGCACGGCUCACUGAUCCUGAUGGAAGAAACAUCCACACGUCGAGGUGCGGGGAAGUCAUUCUGGCUCACACACCAUUUAACUCAGACCUUAUGCUAACUGGAACAGCCUGCCCAACAUACACUGCACAUCUGCAUUAAUCAUUAAAGAAAAGGGCACGCUGUCCAGAAGUAAAGAAUGUCUGAAGAUAGAGAUAAAUGCCUCCCUGGGACGCCAGUGCUGGGACUCCUUUGAUGAUAAGACUCCCUUCCCAGAGCCAAGGCUAUACUAACUCUCUGUGUACGUGCUGAUCUGCUUUUUUGAAACCUUGAAGGAAUGUAUCCCUGACUUGUUUGAUGUUCUUUGUCCUGAUAAAACUGCUGAAAACCAUGCUUCUCUGGAGCAGUUCCCUUAGAGCUAUAGUCCUCAGCUUGGUUUGAAUAAAAUUCUCUUCUAUUCUUAUUAUA
Molecule: long non-coding RNA, 4485 nt
Organism: Balaenoptera acutorostrata (minke whale)
Lineage: Eukaryota; Metazoa; Chordata; Mammalia; Artiodactyla; Balaenopteridae
Exons: 2
Source: RefSeq, a predicted model, not a curated record